AUGGUGUUAUUAGACGUUGUGUACCUGAGCAUGAACAGGAACAGAUCCUACGCAAGUGUCACUCUGAACCAUAUGGAGGACACCACGCUGGAGAUAGAACUGCACAUAAGGUAUUGCAAUCCGGUUUUUAUUGGCCUACUCUCUUCAAAGAUGCUCGUAAGUUUGUCUUGUCUUGUGAUGAAUGUCAAAGAAAUAGGUAAUAUUAGUAGACGUCAAGAAAUGCCUAUGAACUAUUCUCUUGUUAUUGAACCAUUUGAUGUUUGGGGCUUUGGUUAUAUGGGACCUUUUCUUGCCUCUAAUGGUUACACACAUAUUUUAGUUGCUGUUGAUUACGUUACUAAGUGGGUAGAAGCUAUUCCAACUAGUAGUGCUGAUCAUAACACCUCUAUUAUGAUGCUUAAAGAAAUUAUUUUUCCGAGGUUUGGAGUCCCUAGAUAUUUUAUGACUGAUGGUGGUUCACAUUUUAUUCAUGGUGCUUUCCGUAAGAUGCUUGCUAAGUAUGAUGUUAAUCAUAGAAUCGCAUCUCCUUAUCACCCACAGUCUAGUAAUCAAGUAGAGUUGAGCAAUAGAGAGCUCAAAUUAAUUUUGCAAAAGACUGAAUAG
Molecule: ribosomal RNA, 603 nt
Filed under: Triticum aestivum (bread wheat)
Lineage: Eukaryota; Viridiplantae; Streptophyta; Magnoliopsida; Poales; Poaceae
Description: partial small subunit ribosomal RNA
Source: RNAcentral